CUCACUCUGAUAGAAGACAGGCAGGU
This 26-nucleotide non-coding RNA is filed under the name Cricetulus griseus (Chinese hamster). The record is from RNAcentral. Lineage: Eukaryota; Metazoa; Chordata; Mammalia; Rodentia; Cricetidae.